UCUUAUGUAGAGAGGUGGAGGGACUGGCCCAGUGAAGCCUCGGCAACCAUUGAAUAUAUUUUUUAUAUUCAAACGGUGCCAAUUCCAGCAGAUUUUUUACAAAUCUGAUAGAUAAGA
RNAcentral lists this non-coding RNA (117 nucleotides) under uncultured Siminovitchia sp. RNAcentral describes it as "SAM riboswitch (S box leader)". It matches the Rfam family "SAM riboswitch aptamer (S box leader)". From Rfam's summary of the family: The SAM riboswitch is found upstream of a number of genes which code for proteins involved in methionine or cysteine biosynthesis in Gram-positive bacteria. The SAM riboswitch acts at the level of transcription termination control. The predicted structure consists of a complex stem-loop region followed by a single stem loop terminator region. Lineage: Bacteria; Bacillati; Bacillota; Bacilli; Caryophanales; Bacillaceae. The record is from RNAcentral.